AUUGAACGCUGGCGGCAGGCCUAACACAUGCAAGUCGAACGGUAACAGGAAACAGCUUGCUGUUUCGCUGACGAGUGGCGGACGGGUGAGUAAUGUCUGGGAAACUGCCUGAUGGAGGGGGAUAACUACUGGAAACGGUAGCUAAUACCGCAUAACGUCGCAAGACCAAAGAGGGGGACCUUCGGGCCUCUUGCCAUCGGAUGUGUCCAGAUGGGAUUAGCUAGUAGGUGGGGUAACGGCUCACCUAGGCGACGAUCCCUAGCUGGUCUGAGAGGAUGACCAGCCACACUGGAACUGAGACACGGUCCAGACUCCUACGGGAGGCAGCAGUGGGGAAUAUUGCACAAUGGGCGCAAGCCUGAUGCAGCCAUGCCGCGUGUAUGAAGAAGGCCUUCGGGUUGUAAAGUACUUUCAGCGGGGAGGAAGGGAGUAAAGUUAAUACCUUUACUCAUUGACGUUACCCGCAGAAGAAGCACCGGCUAACUCCGUG
RNAcentral lists this ribosomal RNA (490 nucleotides) under uncultured bacterium. RNAcentral's name for it is "partial 16S ribosomal RNA". It matches the Rfam family "Bacterial small subunit ribosomal RNA", at positions 30 to 507 of the family's 1533-position model. The record is from RNAcentral.